Molecule: ribosomal RNA, 349 nt
Filed under: uncultured bacterium
Lineage: Bacteria
Description: bacterial SSU rRNA
Rfam family: Bacterial small subunit ribosomal RNA
Source: RNAcentral
AAUGAACGCUGGUGGCAGACCUAACACAUGCAAGUCGAACGGUCUAUAUUAAACUUCGGUUUUUAUAGAUUAGUGGCAAACGGGUGAGUAAAGGCAUGGGAAUCUACCGUAGAAGUUUGGAAUAGCUAUUAGAAAUGAUAGAUAAUACCAAAUACACCUACGAGAGGGAAAGUUGACGUUACGGUCUUCGCUUUUAGAUGUAGCCCAUGUUAAACUUAGUUAGUUAGGUAGGGUAAUGGCCCUACCAAGAUGAUGAUUUAUAGCUGGUCUUAGAGGAUGAUCAGCCACACUGGAAUUGAGAUACGGUCCAGACUCCUACGGGGAGGCAGCAGUGGGGGAAUAGUGGGAC